AUGCUUCCUGACAGCUGUUCAGUUCUGCUGUUCCUCUUAAUGUUCAGGAUGAGCAAUGGAGACUCAGUGACCCAGACAGAAGGCCUGGUUACUGUCACAGAGGGGUCACCUGUGAUGCUGAACUGUACCUAUCAGACUACUGAUUCAGCCCCUUAUGUUUUCUGGUAUGUGCAAUAUGUCAACAAAGCCCCUCAACUACUCCUGAAGGGCUUCACAGACAAGAAGAGGACAGAAUACCAAGGGUUCUAUGCCAUGCUCCAUAAGAGCAACAGCUCCUUCCACCUGCAGAAGUCCUCAAUGAAGCUGUCAGACUCUGCCCUGUACUACUGUGCUCUGAGUGACACAGUGAGGAAGACUGCAGGGGAAGCUGCACACAAACCAAGUGUACAGGAGGGUGAGGGGAGUGGCCCUGUGAGGGAGAGCUGUGUAUGUCUCUAA
Non-coding RNA from Microtus oregoni (creeping vole), 438 nucleotides. Lineage: Eukaryota; Metazoa; Chordata; Mammalia; Rodentia; Cricetidae. The record is from the annotation of a RefSeq genome assembly.